GAUGAACGCUGGCGGCGUGCCUAAUACAUGCAAGUCGAGCGAAUGGAUUGAGAGCUUGCUCUUAUGAAGUUAGCGGCGGACGGGUGAGUAACACGUGGGUAACCUGCCCAUAAGACUAGGAUAACUCCGGGAAACCGGGGCUAAUACCGGAUAACAUUUUGAACCGCAUGGUUCGAACUUGAAAGGCGGCUUCGGCUGUCACUUAUGGAUGGACCCGCGUCGCAUUAGCUAGUUGGUGAGGUAACGGCUCACCAAGGCAACGAUGCGUAGCCGACCUGAGAGGGUGAUCGGCCACACUGGGACUGAGACACGGCCCAGACUCCUACGGGAGGCAGCAGUAGGGAAUCUUCCGCAAUGGACGAAAGUCUGACGGAGCAACGCCGCGUGAGUGAUGAAGGCUUUCGGGUCGUAAAACUCUGUUGUUAGGGAAGAACAGGUGCUAGUUGAAUAAGCUGGCACCUUGACGGUACCUAACCAGAAAGCCACGGCUAACUACGUGCCAGCAGCCGCCGUAA
This 515-nucleotide ribosomal RNA is filed under the name uncultured bacterium. RNAcentral describes it as "partial 16S ribosomal RNA". It matches the Rfam family "Bacterial small subunit ribosomal RNA", at positions 28 to 523 of the family's 1533-position model. The record is from RNAcentral.